This is a long non-coding RNA of Bos taurus (domestic cattle), 1151 nucleotides long. The record is from Ensembl. NCBI's taxonomy places the organism in Eukaryota, Metazoa, Chordata, Mammalia, Artiodactyla, Bovidae.
CGGGGUAGUCUCAGAUGUAGGAACAGAGGUUGGACUGGUUGUAGGAGCUGAGGUUGCGCUGCUUGUGUGCACAGAGGUUGAGCUCAUUGUAGGAACUGAGGUUGUGCUGCUUGUCUGCACAGGGGUUGCACUGGUUGUUGGAGCCGAGGUGGUGCUGCUUGUGUGCACAGGGGUUGCACUGGUUGUAGGAGCUGAGGUUGCACUGCUUGUCUGCACAGAGAUUGUACUGGUUGUAGGAGCUGAGGUUGCACUGCUUGUGUGCACAGGGGUUACACUGGUAGUAGGAGUCGAGGUGGUGCUGCUUGUCUGCACAGAGGUUGAGCUCGUUGUAGGAGCUGAGGUUGUGCUGUUUGUCUGCACAGAGGUUGAGCUCGUUGUAGGAACUGAGGUGGUGCUGCUUGUGUGCACAGGGGUUGCACUGGUAGUAGGAGCCGAGGUGGUGCUGCUUGUCUGCACAGAGAUUAUACUGGUUGUUGGAGCCGAGGUUGCACUGCUUGUCUGCACAGAGAUUAUACUGGUUGUAGGAGCUGAGGUUGCACUGCUUGUGUGCACAGGGGUUGCACUGGUUGUAGGAGUCGAGGUGGUGCUGCUUGUCUGCACAGAGGUUGGACUGGUUGUCGGAGCUGAGGUUGUGCUGCUUGUCUGCACAGAGAUUGUACUGGUUGUAGGAGCUGAGGUUGCACCGCUUGUGUGCACAGGGGUUGCACUGGUUGUAGGAGUCGAGGUGGUGCUGCUUGUCUGCACAGAGGUUGAGCUCGUUGUAGGAACUGAGGUGGUGCUGCUUGUCUGCACAGGGGUUGCACUGGAUGUGGCCUCAUGGAAGGUGGUCCCUGUGUGCACAGUGACACUCACACUGGAGGUGCUGGUUACUGUGACAGUCGGGGGAGGGCAGUGUUCUCGGGGCUCGCAGCACAGCACUCUGAUCUGGUAGUUGAGGCACAGCCUGGUCUUGCCCUUCUGGUCCUGGUUCCGACACAGCAGGCCCACGUCCUGGUGGCACUGUACCAGCUGGCCCAGCUCGUGGAUGCUGACCCCGGGGUGGUUCUCGGCUCGGCACUCCACUUUGCUGAUGGAUUCAGGUCGGUGGCAGAUGCUGUCUCCAUUCCUCAUGAUGUUGCCGAAGGUUUCAUUGUCUCCCCCGUGGGGCCCGG